RNAcentral lists this ribosomal RNA (284 nucleotides) under Faecalibacterium prausnitzii. Its description in RNAcentral is "partial 16S ribosomal RNA". It matches the Rfam family "Bacterial small subunit ribosomal RNA", at positions 500 to 776 of the family's 1533-position model. The record is from RNAcentral. Lineage: Bacteria; Bacillati; Bacillota; Clostridia; Eubacteriales; Oscillospiraceae.
UCUUUUCCUUUUUUUCCCUCCUCCUCUUUACAACGUAGGUCACAAGCGUUGUCCGGAAUUACUGGGUGUAAAGGGAGCGCAGGCGGGAAGACAAGUUGGAAGUGAAAUCUAUGGGCUCAACCCAUAAACUGCUUUCAAAACUGUUUUUCUUGAGUAGUGCAGAGGUAGGCGGAAUUCCCGGUGUAGCGGUGGAAUGCGUAGAUAUCGGGAGGAACACCAGUGGCGAAGGCGGCCUACUGGGCACCAACUGACGCUGAGGCUCGAAAGUGUGGGUAGCAAACAGG